GGGGUCAGGGUGAAAUCUCCCUCCAGAGGGUAAUACUGCGCAGUUAUGGGCAUUAUGGGAUGCUGAUGCCAUCCUUUAAGUCAAACCAGCAUACGUGGGGAGGAUGCCUGUCAGUCCCAGGAGUUACUGCGGGACCAACGGAUAGAAGCGAGCUCUGAAUUAGAAGAAUCCCUUUUGCUUGUUUUGGGCCCCAAAUAGCUGGACUAUGUGUAAGGCCUGCUUUCCUGAGGAGGUGUGCUCAGCAGAUCUUUGAGGAAUCUAUCCAAAAUGCAGACUAUACACAUCAGCAUUUUUUCUUGCCUUCUUUCUCAUUUCUGCUUGCCAUUCCAUAUUCUCCUCGCAGCUUUCCAGUUACUCUUCCACUUGCUCCCCUUUGCCUCCUGCUGACUCGAUUCCUUUAUUUUCUACCACUGUGUACCGCAGUCACUCCCAGAGCCUGGGCAACCUUCCUCAGAAGCCUCCUCGUCUCCUGAGCUCACCGCCAACUCUCCUACUGAAGCUUUUCACUCUCUGUUCAGCAGCAGAAGAAAAGGCCAGGAACGCGUGCUGUGACACCGCUCAGGUGCCACUGCCCCACAGUUCUUCACAAACCCUGAACGUACAGUCAGUGAGAAGCGGAAUGGCAGAAUUGGUUUGAGCACAUGAAAGAGAAGCGAGUGCUGUGGCCUGGUAUCAGGCACCGCGUUCUGGUUUUGGUUUGGACACUGACUCACCCGUGAGCUCAGGGAAAUCAUUUCCUUUUCUGUGCACCUGUUUCCACUCCCCACCUCUAAUUGUCUGUCUGGUUAGCUGCGAGCUCUUCAGGACGCAGCCCGUCUAGCUGCGUGCACGUGCAGCGCCCCGGCACAAUGCAGCCUUGUCUUGGUUGGGCCUUAGGUGUUGGAGCAGAACAAAACAAAAGGUAUGCCCAGACGGCAGGGCAGGCUGCCCAGACGUGCUGCCCUGCAAGCAUGUCUGAAACCUGAUGUGCUGGGAGCUGUCUCCAUUCCCAGUCCUCGGCCAACAAAGCAUUA
Gallus gallus (chicken) is the source of this 1013-nucleotide long non-coding RNA. NCBI's taxonomy places the organism in Eukaryota, Metazoa, Chordata, Aves, Galliformes, Phasianidae. The record is from Ensembl.